RNAcentral lists this ribosomal RNA (497 nucleotides) under uncultured bacterium. Its description in RNAcentral is "partial 16S ribosomal RNA". It matches the Rfam family "Bacterial small subunit ribosomal RNA", at positions 28 to 507 of the family's 1533-position model. The record is from RNAcentral.
GAUGAACGCUGGCGGCGUGCCUAAUACAUGCAAGUCGAGCGAACGGACGAGAAGCUUGCUUCUCUGAUGUUAGCGGCGGACGGGUGAGUAACACGUGGAUAACCUACCUAUAAGACUGGGAUAACUUCGGGAAACCGUAGCUAAUACCGGAUAAUAUUUUGAACCGCAUGGUUCAAAAGUGAAAGACGGUCUUGCUGUCACUUAUAGAUGGAUCCGCGCUGCAUUAGCUAGUUGGUAAGGUAACGGCUUACCAAGGCAACGAUGCAUAGCCGACCUGAGAGGGUAAUCGGCCACACUGGAACUGAGACACGGUCAAGACUCCUACGGGAGGCAGCAGUAGGGAAUCUUCCGCAAUGGGCGAAAGCCUGACGGAGCAACGCCGCGUGAGUGAUGAAGGUCUUCGGAUCGUAAAACUCUGUUAUUAGGGAAGAACAUAUGUGUAAGUAACUGUGCACAUCUUGACGGUACCUAAUCAGAAAGCCACGGCUAACUACGUG